UACGGAGGGGGCUAGCGUUGUUCGGAAUUACUGGGCGUAAAGCGCGCGUAGGCGGCUUUGUAAGUUAGAGGUGAAAGCCUGGAGCUCAACUCCAGAACUGCCUUUAAGACUGCAUCGCUAGAAUCGUGGAGAGGUGAGUGGAAUUCCGAGUGUAGAGGUGAAAUUCGUAGAUAUUCGGAAGAACACCAGUGGCGAAGGCGACUCACUGGACAGGUAUUGACGCUGAGGUGCGAAAGCGUGGGGAGCAAACAGG
This 253-nucleotide ribosomal RNA is filed under the name uncultured bacterium. RNAcentral's name for it is "partial 16S ribosomal RNA". It matches the Rfam family "Bacterial small subunit ribosomal RNA", at positions 524 to 776 of the family's 1533-position model. The record is from RNAcentral.